AGAGUUUGAUCCUGGCUCAGGAUGAACGCUGGCGGCGUGCCUAAUACAUGCAAGUCGAGCGAACAGAUAAGGAGCUUGCUCCUUUGACGUUAGCGGCGGACGGGUGAGUAACACGUGGGUAACCUACCUAUAAGACUGGGAUAACUUCGGGAAACCGGAGCUAAUACCGGAUAACAUUUGGAACCGCAUGGUUCUAAAGUGAAAGAUGGUUUUGCUAUCACUUAUAGAUGGACCCGCGCCGUAUUAGCUAGUUGGUAAGGUAACGGCUUACCAAGGCAACGAUACGUAGCCGACCUGAGAGGGUGAUCGGCCACACUGGAACUGAGACACGGUCCAGACUCCUACGG
RNAcentral lists this ribosomal RNA (347 nucleotides) under uncultured Staphylococcus sp. Its description in RNAcentral is "bacterial SSU rRNA". It matches the Rfam family "Bacterial small subunit ribosomal RNA", at positions 8 to 344 of the family's 1533-position model. Lineage: Bacteria; Bacillati; Bacillota; Bacilli; Caryophanales; Staphylococcaceae. The record is from RNAcentral.